RNAcentral lists this ribosomal RNA (301 nucleotides) under uncultured bacterium. RNAcentral's name for it is "partial 16S ribosomal RNA". It matches the Rfam family "Bacterial small subunit ribosomal RNA", at positions 509 to 807 of the family's 1533-position model. The record is from RNAcentral.
CAGUAGCCACGGUAAUACGUAGGUCCCGAGCGUUGUCCGGAAUUAUUGGGCGUAAAGCGCGCGCAGGUGGUUUAAUAAGUCUGAUGUGAAAGCCCACGGCUCAGCCGUGGAGGGUCAUUGGAAACUGUUAAACUUGAGUGCAGGAGAGAAAAGUGGAAUUCCUAGUGUAGCGGUGAAAUGCGUAGAGAUUAGGAGGAACACCAGUGGCGAAGGCGGCUUUUUGGCCUGUAACUGACACUGAGGCGCGAAAGCGUGGGGAGCAAACAGGAUUAGAUACCCGUGUAGUCCCUGUCUCUUAUAC